GGGGCGGGGCGCCGGAAGUGCGGCUCUCGGCCGGGGAGACUCGCGUCCGGCAGACCCUUCGGCGCUUGCGCCGCAUUUCGCUGUGGGAGCGCGUUGUGCAAGCUGCGUGUGCGCGCUCGGGCUGUGCGGGCUUUCGGGACGCCCGGCGCGGAGCCGGACUCCACCAGCAACCUAAAGGAGCCCCCUGGGAGCCCAGCCUGCCGGCACCUGCUGCUGUGAGACCUGGAAGGGCACUGAGGCACUGAAGAAUCCCGUGAGGUGGGCCUUACAUUUACUGGCUUUAUUGGAUCAUGUUUUGGAUCUCAGCACAUGGAAUAGACUGAUCCUAGCCCUUGCUCCCUUUUUCAGCACCACCGCUCAUUCUUGUCCCACUUUGGAUUAUUGCUUUGUUUGGUGGCCAACUCCUCCGCCAAGGGGAAUCCAGGGUUCCCAGGCUGGGAGACUUGCCUGGAUGAGGGACCUGAUGUCUAGCAGCAGAUCUCACCACAACUCAUCUCUGGCACACUGGCUCUAAGCAGGAAGGAUGUUCUUGUGGCAGAACUAAAACCCACGACUGAAAAUAAGUUGAAUCACGCUGAUGAAAUGUGGAAUGUGGAAUGUGAAGGGUCUCCCUUGAUUUCCAAGUUCACCGCUGUGAACAUUGCAUAUGCUGUCAACGCAGAAACACCUAGAAGGUGCACGGGCCGUGAAGAAGGGCACAGCGGGAGCAGGUGGAGGGACCUUUCUGGGCAUUUGCAUGGAGCGUGAGAUUGGUGCGGGGACACGGACUGUGCCAUGGGCAGGACAUGAGCUAACAGCCAGCACUGAGCCUCUGUGUGAGGUCAUUACCAGCAGGUGACCCUCUCCGUGCUGUGUGCUUGUGCAGCCGCCAUGUCCUCGGCUGGAACUUGGCAAACAUCACCUUCGAGUGUGUGGGCAAGGCCCAGCUGUGUGUGUGUUGGGCCAGCCCGGGGCACUGCGGGCUUCGGGGUGCAGCACCCCCCCAGCUGCCUCCUCGCCCCGCCGUGACCCUGCCUGAGCCCCAGAGCCAAGGGUGCUGGGGGAGAACGGCUGGUCUCUCUGGAUGUUUCUCCUGCAGGGAAACAAAAAGAAGGAAUAGAGAAGCGACUAGGGCCAGCCUUCACUGGCAAAGGUGGGAAACUGAGAUCCAGUGCACACGGCUGCCAGAGACAGAGGCACGUGCUUGCUGGGGAAUUAGCACUGCCGUCUGGUCCCCUGCCCACCAGCAUCGGUGGUUACUAAUCAGCCCCCUGGGACCUCUCCCUUUGAAUGAAGAUAUGUCGCACCCCAGCCAGGCGCUUGGGGGAUGGCAGAAGACUUCCGAGGGGAAGGUCAUGGACCAUCACCUCAGAGGCGUGUGUCACACAGACGGACCUAUGGUGGGUCAUUCUGUUACUGUCCCACGUGACGACCUUCCAUCAGCGCGGUCCAGGUGCUCUUCUGAGCUCUGUAGAGACAAUCCUCCCUCUGCUCGACAGCCUGGGACUCGGGCUGUGACUGUUCUCAGUGGAUGUGGGGAGACUGAGGCACAAAGACACUCGGUGACUUAUGCAGGGAGUCAGCCUUCAGGCCCCAGCCUGACCCCCACUGUGAGCUCAUCACCCCCCAGCACGCACCUGUCACACACAGACCAUGGCCUUCAGCCUGGAGGGCGAGUCUGAGGAGAAGCAGGGCCCACCAGGGCUGACUAUGCCCCUCCCCUCCCCACGUCCCUCACAGAUGUGUACUGGGCCCCUCCUGGGCCACGCCCUCUGCAUUUGGCCUCCAUGCAGAGACUCUGGGCCCCUACCCUCUUUCCCAGCUCCCAGGAAUCCCCAGGGACCAUUUCUGGUGUUGCAUGUCCCUCUUAGGUCUAGCCCUCCUCCCCUCUGCCCUGCCUGCUGGAGUGACCAAAGUGGGCUUUGGCCCCUCCUGACUGAUGGAGAAUCCCUUCUCCCAGGGCCCACAGGGGCCACUUUCCAGGGUCUUCCCUGAUGAUCAAGUACCAGAAAGCUCCAAGGAGCUGAGGGCUCACUUCUCAGCAGUGGGCCUGUGAUGGUCAGAGCCGGUCACUGUCCCGCUUCCUGUCCCCAUAGUGCUUUACGUAUGUACACAGUUGGGGAGCAGUGGGGCUCGGGGCUGGCCCCCUGGCCUGUGCCUACCUGCCACGGGGGUUGGGGGGGCCACUGUCAUUCUGGUAACCCUGGUCUCAGUGAAUGUCAGUGGAGAUGAUAAUGAGCCCAGCCCCGUCCCAGCCUCCCAGGGUUGGGGAAAGAUUGAUGCAAGUGGAAUGUGAGGCCGAGAGGAGGGUGCCCCCUGCCUAUCCCUCCCAUUGCUGUGGAUGGAACCCUGGCGAGCCUCUUUGCCUUUUCGUGCUGUGCCUCCAUUUCUUCUUCCGGGAAAAGGACAUAAUGAUGAAGCCCAUCCCCCAGUCAGCUUGGGGGCCCGCACUUUGCAAAGUCACUGGGGCAGAGCUGGAGCCUCGAGUUGGCAUGUGAUGGGGCUCCAUGGACACCCGGUGAAAGGAAGGGGGACACGAGCCUGUCACACUGCAUCAGCCCUGCGAGGUCUGCGACUGGAGGCAGCGGCUGCCAUCCCCGUCCCUCCCUGGAGCCAGCCUCCAGCUCGGUGGGCCUCUCAUACAUGCAGGCUGGGCUGGCCCGUGGCUACAGGGUUGCAGGCCAGAGGAAUCCCUGCCCCCACCAAGAAGUGACCACACCCCACUUCCCCUUAGAGUGUCUCAUCCCCAGAGGGGCCACCGCCUUCCACCCCAUCUCCCUCCCUCUACGGAUCAGAGCAGCCAGACCACCAUCUCCCUGGGGGGUCUUUUCUUCCUUCUCCAUCUAGACACAUUUCUCUCUGGCCUCCGGGUCACACUUCUGCCCCUGGCCUGAAUGCAUGUCCUGAGCAACCUCCCCACCAACUUGGCACCUUCCCCAUGACAACCGGAUAACGAUCUUUCUCCCUCAAGCUGUCCCCUCCAACCCCUUGUCAUUUGCUGGAAGGCAUUA
Molecule: long non-coding RNA, 2990 nt
Organism: Mustela lutreola (European mink)
Lineage: Eukaryota; Metazoa; Chordata; Mammalia; Carnivora; Mustelidae
Exons: 6
Source: RefSeq, a predicted model, not a curated record